CGACGGGUAACGGGGAAUCAGGGUUCGAUUCCGGAGAGGGAGCCCGAGAAACGGCUACCACUUCCAAGGAAGGCAGCAGGCGCGCAACUUACCCUAAUCUCGAUUCGAGGAGGUAGUGACAAGAAAUACCGAUGCGGGACCCUACGGGUGCCGCGUUCGGAAUGAGUACGAUUCGAACCACCUAACGAGGAACGAUCGGAGGGCAAGUCUGGUGCCAGCAGCCGCGGUAAUUCCAGCUCCAAUAGCGUACGUUAAAGUUGCUGCAGUUAAAAAGCUCGUAGUUGAACGUUCGGGUUCCGCGGGACGGGGCCGCCCCGCGAGGGACGGCGCCGCCCCGGGGCUCGUGAUAUCUCAUCUCGCCGCCCGUCGCGAGGCGGACGGAGGGAUGGAUGAGGUUACCUGG
RNAcentral lists this ribosomal RNA (403 nucleotides) under uncultured eukaryote. Its description in RNAcentral is "bacterial SSU rRNA". It matches the Rfam family "Eukaryotic small subunit ribosomal RNA", at positions 353 to 759 of the family's 1831-position model. The record is from RNAcentral.